CAGAGUUGAGCUGUCUCAGCCAUUGUGUGCCAGGGAAGCAUCACCUAGAGGUUUGGAGCAAAAUUGAGAGUAGGAUCAUUUGAAAUCAACAGGGUACAAAGUAAGCAGAGUAGCAUAGCUCCCAGCGGCACACUACUCGCUGCAUGACCCACAUUUAAACAGCAGCUUCCUGCUGAAGUCAGGCCAUAAAGGGAUGCCUGAAGGAAUCCUGAACAGGACAGGGAGGAAAGGUGGGAAAGAGAUGAAUACACAGUGUCUGGAGUUAAUAAACUUCAUUUCCUCCUAAGGCUCAUGGCCAUGGGGUAGAAAGAAGAAGGCUGAAGGCAAAGGGGUACCAAGGAAUAAAAGAUUGAUGAAGGCUGUGUUAAAGAAGUGGUGUUCCAGCUGAGCCUGAAAGCAAAGGUCAAGUUUGAAUUGAUAGAGGUGAGAAAAGAAGACAUUCUAGAUGAGAAGGGCAACGUGAGGCAACGUGAGGAAAAUCCUAAGGGUGAAAGUAAGCAGGGAAUCGGAGGCUUAGAAAAUUUUGGAAAUUACGCUGAGGCCACACAGCAAGUUUUGAGACCAAAAUUUAAAUCCAGAGGUCUUAUCUAUCUUGAGAAUCUAAACUCAUAACUCCGAGGAUUUCAUAAUGUAUCUUUCAGUUUAUCUUUAUUUAG
This 656-nucleotide long non-coding RNA is filed under the name Homo sapiens (human). RNAcentral describes it as "HSALNT0140252". The record is from RNAcentral. Lineage: Eukaryota; Metazoa; Chordata; Mammalia; Primates; Hominidae.